ACGGCCGCAGGCCUCGCGGUUGCACUGGCGACCCUCCUCCAGCACCCCCUCGCAGCCGCCGCCCUCCACGCCCGGCGCGGGCAGGCAGGUGCGCGUCCGCGUCUGGAGGCCUCCCCCGCAGUCCCGCGUGCAUUCGCCCCACAGGGACCACAGCUUCCAGCCGCCUGGGGGGAAACCAGAGGGCGGGGAUCAGGGCAGGGCAGGGGCUCGUGGCCUGGACGGGUAAGUCAUGGGGGUGCUAAGCCCGCCGAGGCCGGCCCGGGUGGGGAGGGGCCGCAGUGCCGGGGAAGGCCUGGCCUGGGAGGACCUGGGGGUCUGGUGUCUACCCAGCUCCCGGGCCCCCUCUGGAGAGCUCAGGUCACGUCUGAGCCUGAAGGGUCCCCGUGUGCCAGCCGCCACUGGGCAGGUUUGCCGCCAGGAUGAUGAAGGGAUGACGACCUCCGCCCACCAGAGGGCUGCCUCAGAGCACAGCGUCCUGAUGGUAUACCAGUGGUGAUCAAGGCCUCACACCUGGUGUCCAACCAGGGCCUCGAACCCAGGGCACAGCCUGACGGAGCCUGCCCUGGACCUGGCCAGCUGGCCACCCGAGGAGGGAGCCUGGGAUAAAUGCCUGCAGGCGCCUCCCCGCCACGCCCCUGCCCUGACCCCGGCCGCUCUGUUCAGCUUCUCUAGUGAGUCUUUCUCCAUCCCUGCCCCGACAGUCCCCGCGGCCUUCAUGGACCUGUGUUCCCCUAGCAAACCAGACCUCACGCCCCAGGAGUCUCUGCUCCCGGGGGGUCCUCGUGCUGCCAAAAACACUUUGGGCUGCUUGGAGUGCCCAUGGUCCUGGAGCACUGGGUAGCCAUGGAGGAGCACAAAGCAGGAGAGGGCCACUGCCAUCUGUGGGCCAGAGAGGGGCAGCAGCACCAGGGGGCCGGGAAGGGGCUGCCGCGUCCAGGCCUCCCGCUCGGGCCUCCUGCCCAGCACUCUGGGCUCAUGUACACCCUGUGCAGCAGGGUCGGGCGACUUGGAAAGGGCAUGCAGCCCUUGCCAAGUGCUGCUCCUGGCUACGGUGGCGAGGAGACAGCUGGCGGCCACCACGAGGGGACCCACCAUGGAGCUGGGGCCGCUGCCACUGGGGAACACUGGGGAUCCGGCAGCUCGAUCCCAGGUACAGCAGGGGAGGCCCCAGGGGCAGCAAUCAGGCCAAGCACAGGCCACCCCGACCCACCAGAAGGGCCCCAGGGCCUCUUGGAGCCUCAGGAAAGGGGCCCUGCCUCCCUCAGUGGGAGUGUGGACUGCAGGAGACCCCAGGGUAGCUCCAGCUGCCAGAUUCCCCCAGUGGCCCCACCACCCACUGGCCUCACUCCCAUCAUUUACAACAUGAGGAUAAUGGCUGACCUCCCAGGACUGACAAGUGGGAAGUCAAACAGCAAAAAAGGAUAUGAGAGGACGGCGUGUGGCAUUGUCACUUGGGUCAGAGUUGACUCCCGGGGCCCCACUUUGAUUUUCAGCAAACUCAGUGUCCAGCCAGAGUGCCCCCCACCCUGCCCCACUUCCCCACACCUAUGCCAGGAAUGGCCAGCAGGGGGUGCCAGGGGCAUGGGGAUGAGACCCAGGAGAGGGACUUGACCCACCACAGCUGUGGGAGGCCUCAUUUUCUCCCUGGUGGGGUCCAUAGGGUGGGAGGAGUCUUCCAGGCCCCCACACCUGCUGCAGAACCCUCUUCCUUCACUCACAGAGCCAUACUCCCACAGGUCCCAGAGAGGAGAGCACCUGGCUGAGGGUGCACAGCAGUUGAGCUGCCUCCUCCAUAGCGUGCUUAGCCCGUGCCAUGCCAGGAGAGGUGGGGGACUCAGCACGGCCUCCAGGGCACAAGGGCGGGACAGGGUGGCACCUGCCCACAGCAUAGGAACAGGUGACAGGCCCUUCGUGGCUGCCCUGUCACAUGCCCUAACUCAGGACAAGGAGAGGAACCUGGACUUGAACUGGUGGUCAGAUUCCAAACGCCCCCAUCCCCCAGACUAAGGCCUCCUGCCAGGACUGUCUGGGGCCCAGGUGCUCCGGGCCUCAGUGGUCUCAUCUGCUGAAGGCAUCCCACCACCCCGAUUCUGAGGCAAAGGCACAGACGGGGUCCUAAGGGGCGGGCCUGACAAUGGGUCAGGGUGGCACGUCCUGCGGCACCCCCCUCGCCGUCCCAGCCCAGCCCCCAUGCGGAAGCCUGAGUGACGUGGAAACUGGCAGUGGGCGGGAGAGAGAGGGUGUCCAAGCCAGGCUCAUCGGAGGAUGCCACUCGGUUCCCAUGGCAACUGCUGCAGCACGCAGCCUUUCAGGAGAGACCCAGGUUAGGCCUCAGCUGCCAAAACACCCACUCAUUUCAGGGCUGGUUACCUUGGUGACCCAGGUGGUGAGGAUGUGGUAGGGGGAGAAAGGGCGGGGGCACAUCAGGAGAGGCUUCGGAGGGGCGGGACACUGGCCCAGAGGAUGGAUCACCCUGCCCCCACAAACCAAGCCUGACCCUGGUCACAUACUGAACCCUGACUUUGGACCCGUGCUGAGCCCUGAUCCAGGUCACAAGCUGACCCUGGACGCAUACUGAGUCUCGAUUCUAGUCACACACUGAUUCCUGACCCUGGUCACAUAUUGAGCCUUGAUCCUUAUCACAGACUGACCUCUGAUCUUGGGCACAGAAUUCCUGAUCCUGUUAUAUACUGAGCCCUGAUCCCAGCCACAGACUGAUCCCCCAUCUUGGUCACACUCCUGCUACUAAUGAACACUGAGAAAAUGGUAGCUGCUAUUUUUAUUCUUGUUUUGUUUUUGAUGUGUGUCCCCUCACUUAGCUGACACUCAGUAAAUGUUUGUCUAGUGAAUGUAUCAAUGCCAGGAUGGAGCCCCUGGGGUCCGCAGUGCAGGGUGCAGAGGUGUUCAAGCCACGCUUCACUGGGUGGCCACAGUGUGUCUGAGCUGGGUGGACAGUGAAGGGCAGCAGAGGAGCAGCAAGCAGGCUGGGGGGUGGGCCGCCCCUCCAGGACCGGAAAGAAACCGCCUUUCUUCCCCCACUCAAUGCCGGCUCUGUCUGGAAGCCUCAUUUCCAUCUCAUUAAGGGGAUGAAUAGAGCCAAUUAACGGCCCCAGGCAGCCUGGCCACCCAGGGGAGAGGGUGCUUGGUGAGAGGCCUCCUGGUGUCCUUCCCACCCUGGCGCCCCAGACUGGAGGCUGUGAGCUCCCCACAGCCCGCACCCCGAGUUGGCUGGGAUGGGGGUGCGGGGGAGCACAGGGGGCGUCCCUCCCUCCAGCUGGGCCUCCCUAGCUUCCGGGCUGUUCUCUGGAGGAGAGCUGUGCACUUCUGUCUGUUGCCAGCAGAGGUCUCCCGACUCCAGCAGGUCGGGCAGCACCGGGGCUGGAGGGUCAGUCAGUUCUGCCAUUCCCACCCUGCUCUGCCACCAGGUCCCAGGCACCCACAGCGUGUCCGAGGGAUGACCCCACCUCCAGCCCAGGCUCCAAGUUAGGGUUUGUCCUGGGGCACCCAGACUCCUCUGAGACCUAGACCAGGGCCCCCUGCACGGACGUGGAAGGGAGGGCCCCGGAGGGUGGAUGGGGCGCCUGGUGGCCUGACUUAGCCCACCUGCUGCCAGCCGCUCCUACUGGAGGUGCCCAAGUGGCUGGUCCCCCUUCCUCCCGCCACAGAGGCGGGCACCAGCAGAUCUCAGGAUGGGGCUGAGAAGCCAAGUCCACCAUCCGGCAGGCCACUUCCCAGGUGAGCUAAGAGCGAGGAGCCUCGUGGGGCAGCGGGGCUCCCCGAAACCUGUCAAGCCUCCAUCUCCUUAAAGCCUCACGUAGGCCCUGCUAGCAGGUACUGUCCCGUCUCUAACUCUCAGGAGGGAAACUGAGGCUCCCUGAGCUGGCCGAGUCUUGUUGCUUCCUUUUCUUGAUCAGGCAGGUGCUCCUUGGCCUGAGAAUGGUGCCCUGUUUACAAGCCUGAAAGCCCAGGGCCCAUCCCGGAGACCUUGGACAAGUCUCUGCCCACCGCCCGGGCCCCGACCCCGGUUGUCUGCUGCCAGCUCCAUGUCCUUUCUCCCCAUCUUUCUGGGAAGUGGAACCAAAAUACAGUGCCCUGAUUCUCAGCCUCUCUCGCAGCCAGGCGGGCGUGGGGUGCGUUCUGGCUCUGAGCGGAGGAGGUGAAGGGCUGAAGGCAUGGUGGGCCCAGCAUAUCAUUCCCAUGGGGCCCCAUCCUGCCAUCCCCAUCUGAAAUGGGUGUUGUCUGUGAUGGGGACUGAAGCCUUCUUGUUUUCUAGAUUUUUCUAAAUUGGCCCUUGUGCAAAAAGAGUGGCUCUCCUGUCCAAGCCAGAAACCCCUGACAGUGGAGACCUUGGCACCUUCCCAAGCCCCUCGGUGCUCCCUGUCACCAUGAGACUACCUGGAGUCCCAAACUCCACUCCAAUCCUGACUCCUCUCCAAAUUCCAGCCCAGGCUUUGCCGCUCCCUCUGCCCCUGCACACCCCAGACAGGCCUCCAGAUGCCUCUUCCCAGGACUUCCGGGGCUCCUGGGGUUGGGGCUGAGCCUGACUGUGUCUCCAACAGCCUCCAGAGUGAGUGUGGGGUCACUGGGCAGGUGGGCCUGGGCUGAGCCUGACUCACCCUGGAGGCAGGGCAGGGAGGGGGAGGUCACCCCAUCUCCGUGGCCGGUCACAGCCCCUCGGCCAGCAGUAAGCCUCCCACACCCCUGCAGGAUCCAGGAGCCCAACGGAAUGUGUGGGUUCACACUCCACACCCAGUUCCAGCCCAGCCUCCCAUACCCACUCCCUGUGGGCACACAGAGGACGCACACAGGGACACACAGGGAUAUACACUCGAGGACACACAGGCACACAGACCACACACAGGGAAGCAGGGACACACACACACAGGGACACACACCACAGAGGGACACACACACAGGGACACAUACACUAAAUUGGCCCUUGUGCAAAAGGAGUGGCUCCCCUGUCCCUCCUUGUGCAAAAAAUGGCUCCACACACACCACACGGGGACACAUAGGGACACACACACACACGAGGACACACACACUUGCUCCCAGGCCCCAGGACGCUGCUUUUUCAUGAUCUUCCAUGUCGCUCGUGCAAUAAAAUUCUUUAAUUAAAACAUGAAUAUUUAAAACAACCCUUGAGAGAAACGGCCCCACUCACCCUAGGCGGAAAAAUGCAAAGGGAGGCAGUGGGGAGGAAGUGAUGAGAGCCAGAGAGAGCCGGCAGGAGAGGGGCCUGACAGCCUGGGGGGCGGUGGGGCGUGGGGCAGCACGAGGUGGAGGGGAACAGUUGCUUGGCCUGAGGAGUGUUUGCAGAGUCUGACGCGUGACGUGGCCAUGUGGCACUUGGACAGGCCGUGCGGGGGGCAGGGCUGAAAAUGGGCCACGGGCUGGCCUGGGCUGCCUGCUUGCUCCUGCACUUGGCUGUGUGUUGCCUGCUAGGGACAUGGACGGAUGGACAAGCCUGUCCCAGUGUCCCCAGGUCCCACAGCGAGGGCACAACGCUCCCUGGGCACAGGUCUCAGCUGGCAGGAUCUGGGGUCAACUCUGCCUCUGCUCAGCUGUGUGUCUUCUGAAUGGUCACCUGCCUCUCUGGUCCUCAUGCCACCCCAUCCCCCCCACGCACACGCACGUGCACACACAGAGACAUACACACAUACAUUCACACAGGCACUCACACAUUCACACACAUGCAUGUGCAUGCACUCACAUUCACACACAGGCACGCACACAUUCACACACAUUCACGUGCACACACACGCACUUGCGUUCACACGCACGUGCACAUACACACAUGCACGUGCAUACACACACAUGCACGUGCACACACACAUUCACACAUGCACACAUGCACACACAUUCACACACAUGCACGUGCAUACACUCACAUUCACACAUGCACGUGCAUACACACACAUUCACACAUGCACGUGCAUACACACUCACACAUGCACGUGCAUACACACAUUCACGCACGUGCACACACUCAUUCACACGUGCACACACUCACAUUCACAUCUGCAUGUGCACAUACACACUCCCACAUUCACACACAUGCACGUGCACAUAGACACUCCCACAUUCACACACAUGCAUGUGCACACAUUUACAUUCACACAUGCACGCGUGCACACACAUUCACUCACCUGCACGUGCACACACAUUCACACACAUGCAUGUGUGCACACAUUCACAUUCACAGAUAUGCACACACAUUCACACAUGCACAUGUGCACACAUUCACACACAUGCACACACACACACAUGCACGCAUGCACACACAUGCACACACGCACAGCUCUGAGCAGAGCUCACUGCAGACGCCCUAGUGUUACCACUCGAUGGCAGCGUCAAGGGGCUCUGCCAUCAGCCUGCCACUUACAAGCUGUGUGGCCCUGGCUGCUGCCUUAACAUGUCUGUGCCUGGUUUUCUCCAACUUGGACUGACUGAGUGCCUGCUGCUCCCAGGUACUGUUCUACACGUUGGGGGGCACGUCAGGGAACUGGCAAUGCCUGCUUUGUGCUGCUUACAUCCUGGCCUGGACAAUCAGAAGUGGACACAACAAAUAAGGGAAAUUAUGCAGUGUGUUGAGAGGUGACACAUGUGUGCAGAGACAGAGGCAGGAUAAAGGGUCAGAGAGUGGGCCCAGAGCUGCUGCCAUUUUCAACAGGACGGUCAGGGUAGCCUGCAAUGAAAGGUCACAUGUGCGUGAGGACUGGAAGGCGGGAGCCCUGCGGGUCUCUAGGGAAGACUUCCUGGCAGAGGGAACAGCUGUGUGAAGGCCCUGAGGCAGAGCGUGCCUCCACAGGAGCCUAUCUCCCGUGCAGGUGCCUCUGGCACAAAGUAAACACUCAAUAAAUGACUAUUACUACUGA
Molecule: long non-coding RNA, 6878 nt
Organism: Homo sapiens (human)
Lineage: Eukaryota; Metazoa; Chordata; Mammalia; Primates; Hominidae
Exons: 2
Source: RefSeq, a predicted model, not a curated record